CGGGGUAUAGUAUAAUGGUAGUACGCGCCCAUGGGGUGGGUGUAGCUUGGGUUCGAUUCCCAAUACCCCGA
RNAcentral lists this transfer RNA (71 nucleotides) under Candidatus Falkowiibacteriota bacterium. Its description in RNAcentral is "tRNA-Pro". It matches the Rfam family "tRNA". From Rfam's summary of the family: Transfer RNA (tRNA) molecules are approximately 80 nucleotides in length. Their secondary structure includes four short double-helical elements and three loops (D, anti-codon, and T loops). Lineage: Bacteria; Candidatus Falkowiibacteriota. The record is from RNAcentral.